RNAcentral lists this ribosomal RNA (497 nucleotides) under uncultured bacterium. RNAcentral's name for it is "partial 16S ribosomal RNA". It matches the Rfam family "Bacterial small subunit ribosomal RNA", at positions 28 to 507 of the family's 1533-position model. The record is from RNAcentral.
GAUGAACGCUGGCGGCGUGCCUAAUACAUGCAAGUCGAGCGAACAGACGAGGAGCUUGCUCCUCUGACGUUAGCGGCGGACGGGUGAGUAACACGUGGAUAACCUACCUAUAAGACUGGGAUAACUUCGGGAAACCGGAGCUAAUACCGGAUAAUAUAUUGAACCGCAUUGUUCAAUAGUGAAAGACGGUUUUGCUGUCACUUAUAGAUUGAUCCGCGCCGCAUUAGCUAGUUGGUUAGGUAACGGCUUACCAAGGCAACGAUGCGUAGCCGACCUGAGAGGGUGAUCGGCCACACUGGAACUGAGACACGGUCCAGACUCCUACGGGAGGCAGCAGUAGGGAAUCUUCCGCAAUGGGCGAAAGCCUGACGGAGCAACGCCGCGUGAGUGAUGAAGGUCUUCGGAUCGUAAAACUCUGUUAUUAGGGAAGAACAAAUGUGUAAGUAACUAUGCACGUCUUGACGGUACCUAAUCAGAAAGCCACGGCUAACUGCGUG